RNAcentral lists this ribosomal RNA (253 nucleotides) under uncultured bacterium. Its description in RNAcentral is "partial 16S ribosomal RNA". It matches the Rfam family "Bacterial small subunit ribosomal RNA", at positions 524 to 776 of the family's 1533-position model. The record is from RNAcentral.
UACGUAGGGUGCGAGCGUUAAUCGGAAUUACUGGGCGUAAAGCGUGCGUAGGCGGUUCGUUAAGUCAGCUGUGAAAGCCCCGGGCUCAACCUGGGAACUGCGGUUGAAACUGGCGAACUAGAAUCUGGCAGAGGGGGGUGGAAUUCCACGUGUAGCAGUGAAAUGCGUAGAGAUGUGGAGGAGCACCGAUGGCGAAGGCAGCCCCCUGGGCUGAGAUUGACGCUCAGGCACGAAAGCGUGGGGAGCAAACAGG